This 315-nucleotide long non-coding RNA is filed under the name Pan troglodytes (chimpanzee). RNAcentral's name for it is "long non-coding RNA NONPTRT018392". Lineage: Eukaryota; Metazoa; Chordata; Mammalia; Primates; Hominidae. The record is from RNAcentral.
CCCAGCCACCUUCACGCCACCGCCCAGCUGCCCAGGAGCCCAGCCAGGACUGGCCAUACUGCCACCGCACACGUGCACACACGCCAACAGGCACCUGCCAUGCUGGCAUCUCUAUAAGGGCUCCAGUCCAGAGACCCUGGGCCAUUGAACUUGCUCCUCAGGCAGAGGCUGAGUCCGCACAUCACCUCCAGGCCCUCAGAACACCUGCCCCGGCCCCACCAUGCUCAUGGCGUCCACCACUUCCGCUGUGCCUGGGCAUCCCUCUCUGCCCAGCCUGCCCAGCAACAGCAGCCAGGAGAGGCCACUGGACACCCG